GAUGAACGCUGGCGGCGUGCCUAAUACAUGCAAGUCGAGCGAACGGACGAGAAGCUUGCUUCUCUGAUGUUAGCGGCGGACGGGUGAGUAACACGUGGAUAACCUACCUAUAAGACUGGGAUAACUUCGGGAAACCGUAGCUAAUACCGGAUAAUAUUUUGAACCGCAUGGUUCAAAAGUGAAAGACGGUCUUGCUGUCACUUAUAGAUGGAUCCGCGCUGCAUUAGCUAGUUGGUAAGGUAACGGCUUACCAAGGCAACGAUGCAUAGCCGACCUGAGAGAGUGAUAGCCCACACUGGAACUGGGACGCGGACCAGGCGACUAAGAGAGGCAGCAGUAGCGAAUCGUCCGCAAUGGGCGAAAGCCUGGCGGAGCAGGGCGGCGUGAGUGAUGAAGGUCUUCGGAUCGUAAAACUCUGUUAUUAGGGAAGAACAUAUGUGUAAGUAGCUGUGCACAUCUUGACGGUACCUAAUCAGAAAGCCACGGCUAACUACGUG
This 497-nucleotide ribosomal RNA is filed under the name uncultured bacterium. RNAcentral's name for it is "partial 16S ribosomal RNA". It matches the Rfam family "Bacterial small subunit ribosomal RNA", at positions 28 to 507 of the family's 1533-position model. The record is from RNAcentral.